Molecule: non-coding RNA, 46 nt
Filed under: Trichobilharzia regenti
Lineage: Eukaryota; Metazoa; Platyhelminthes; Trematoda; Strigeidida; Schistosomatidae
Source: RNAcentral
CUACUACUGAAGUGUCCCAAGCUAGGACGAAACAGCUGUCCAGUAC